This is a long non-coding RNA of Gallus gallus (chicken), 1223 nucleotides long. The record is from Ensembl. Lineage: Eukaryota; Metazoa; Chordata; Aves; Galliformes; Phasianidae.
AAAGGUGUUUUGCACAAUUUCUGAGUGCUCUGCCCAAAACCAUUCUCCCCUUCUCCAUUGUUUGCUGUAGCAACUAGGGGAACCAAGAAGAUAUCAUAACCACACUGAUGAAGAGGAAUACCUGAGACAUCAUUCAAGUCAGGUACUAUCCAACAGUGACAUGUGCCUUUCUUCUGAAGUGCGCACACAUGGGAUGAACAGCCUGUGAUUUGAAUUACACUCCUGCAGUUAGAAAUCCUUAGGACUACCACUGGAGUAUUUUCAUGGAUUGAAUUAUCCGAGCCCCAGAAAGUUUAUUAGCUCAGAGCAAAGAUGGAUGUUAAAGGGAAGAGAGUAGAACAGAAGACCUGAAGUGUAACAACAAUCUACAAUUCUUCCUGAAGAAAAAAGUCAUUUCCCAGUGUAAGAGACUAUUCUUUUAUAUCAUUGACUCAAAGUUUGCUGAGGAACAAGUCCAGGCAAGUCCUGGGCAAAGGCAGAGAAAUCUUUUGUCUUGAGGACACUGAUGGACAGGUCCUGGCUAAGGAUUGUGAAAUCCUCUAAGGAGCACAGAUGGACAAGGCCAGGGGCAUCGAGAGAGAGAUAAGCUGCUGCUAAUGGCCGGGAAACGGUCUUUUUGUGUGGACUUAUCUCAAGGAAAAUGGCCAUCUCAGGAGGUAUGCACAGGACUCUUGCUCAAGCACCCAGGAAUGUCACGUAGGCAGCAGAAAAUGGAGAAUAAAAGAGGGUCCAAUAACCACAACGGUGGAAGCUGAUCCUUCACCACAACCACGGCAACGGGAGAGGCUUAUCUCUCACCACGACAGACUUGAGGGGUUCUCUGCCAUCUGAUCCUUCACCGCAACGUGUAGACGGAUCUCUACGUGGAGACUGAUCUCUCACCACGACACGAGCUUCCUGCCUUCAGAUCCUUCUCUACGGACCGUUUGCUGACGGACUUCCCUGGGCCUGCUACCUGAGACCUGCUGCUUCCUCCCUGACCUGCACCCUCUCGUUGCCCAAGACCGGCCUCGCUGCUCCUGCCCUUCGGCCUCGGACCGUCGGAAUAUCGUGCAACGGGACUGCUGCCGGAUCCUGGUGGUGACUAUCCCCGCUUUACGCAAUUCUUGCCUCUUUCUAUCUUUUCUAUCGCUCGCCUUCCCUUCCCCAUCACCCCAGUCCUUAAUAGUGUCCGUCCUCCCCUUUCCCCAUCUCCCUUAUUAACAUUUGUAAUAAACUGGUCG